AGUGAACGCUGGCGGUAGGCCUAACACAUGCAAGUCGAACGGCAGCACAGUAAGAGCUUGCUCUUACGGGUGGCGAGUGGCGGACGGGUGAGGAAUACAUCGGAAUCUACUUUUUCGUGGGGGAUAACGUAGGGAAACUUACGCUAAUACCGCAUACGACCUACGGGUGAAAGCAGGGGAUCUUCGGACCUUGCGCGAUUGAAUGAGCCGAUGUCGGAUUAGCUAGUUGGCGGGGUAAAGGCCCACCAAGGCGACGAUCCGUAGCUGGUCUGAGAGGAUGAACGGCCACACUGGAACUGAGACACGGUCCAGACUCCUACGGGAGGCAGCAGUGGGGAAUAUUGGACAAUGGGCGCAAGCCUGAUCCAGCCAUACCGCGUGGGUGAAGAAGGCCUUCGGGUUGUAAAGCCCUUUUGUUGGGAAAGAAAAGCAGCAGGUUAAUACCCCGCUGUAAUGACGGUACCCAAAGAAUAAGCACCGGCUAACUUCGUG
This 492-nucleotide ribosomal RNA is filed under the name uncultured bacterium. Its description in RNAcentral is "partial 16S ribosomal RNA". It matches the Rfam family "Bacterial small subunit ribosomal RNA", at positions 29 to 507 of the family's 1533-position model. The record is from RNAcentral.